AUAAUAAUAUGCCUUGUGACAUAUCAUUUGAAAACAAAUAACUAGCUGGUCAAUAAAGUUAUUAAUUCCUUCUGUAUGAUGUUAUUAGGAAAUGUUCAAAACCAGACCGCUCUGCCUAGGAAAAAGCUGUUAAACAGGUCUAUCCUUAAACAAAGAAAUGUGUGUUUACCCCAGUUUACAUGUAAGUAGUAAACAGGACCAUCAAGACAGCCAGGGGAGGAGACGGCAGGAAUCAGAACAAUUUGCAUUUCAGCAAACACAGGUAGGGGAAGAAAGAGCAUGGAGUUUCCUUCACCACCAGACUCCAUGUUGCCUUCCUCAUAGCUUGAAUAAACUUUACUUUGAGGGGUAUCGUUCAGGAGAAUCCACUUCAGAGAUUCAAUGGACUAUAAACAAAAGGGUCAGAGAACCCCAAGUUAAUCACUUUCACUUAAGAUGUCAAAGGCACCAGAACCUCUAGCCUCUGGAAGAGAUCCUGAUCAAAGAGAGGGUAAAUCACCCUCUUGCUAGAAGGCUGAAAGUGAUAAAGGCCUUCUUGAACAAAGCCUUCAACCAAAACUUGCUAAAAUAAGUUUUAGAUGUGUGUUUAAACUUUUAUUUCCUCGUGACCAUAUCUAACUUUAUCUUUUAUUCUUGAACUCACUUAAAAUCUAUUAAAAACUAUUAAUCUAAACCAACAGUGCUGUGUUUGUACUAAAGUGAAAGUCAACUCCAGUUAAUGUAGGAAACUGGUGCGUUUUGUCUCCUUAAAGAAGCAAAUUAACUAUAUUAUUUCUUUUUACUAGGAGAGAGCUGAACAUUAUAGUGCACAUGAUUUUGGGAAGUUUCAGGACUGGAAGUGUGUUGGGGUCACUCUGCAAGUAGUAACCAAGACUAGUGAAAACCAGAAUGGGGCUAUACACAGGCUAUGAUGGUCAGAGCUGCUAAACCACGGGUGUAUAGCACAAAGACACUCAGGGUGUGACCUGCAUGAUGGUAAAUUCAUCAUGGAGGAGCCACAUCCUUGUGAAGUUUCUCCAGACUCGGAAGGAGGACUUGACCUUCAUCUUGUGAGACAAGAUCCCGUUGCAGAGGGAGAUUGUGUGGCAAACACAUUGCCAUGUACCUCAGGUUGACUUUCUACAUCGCUACGGGGCUCUGUCUCAGGCAGAGGAUGGUUGAGAAGGAACUGAGGGGCAAUCAGGUCAUGCAUGCUAGUCAAGGUGUCAAUAGCACCAUGAGACAAAUAUUGCGCAUGCGCGGCCCUGACAGACACUGCUACCGAAAAUCUCCAAUUGACGGUGAUGCGAUGCACCGACAUCUUAAGCGGAGUACCCACAGGGACAGCAUUUGAAGAAGAAUUAUUUCUUAUGGACACAAUGAUUGACAGUGAUUUCCUCCCCUCCUUUUUUCACCAACUGAUUUCUUCUGAUACGGAGUUUUGUGUUCCACACUGCUUAUCUCAGAGUACAUGUUAUACCAGUACCCAAUAAUCUGCACACCUAAUAAUACAUUUUCAAGUUUAGUUCAAACUGUUAGUUUUUAGAGUUCUGCAUGGUUUGAAACCCAGUUACUUCUGAGACUGCUUCUCUCUGUGUGUGUGAUACUGCUACAUUAGCUAUCAGAGAAGACACGCAAGUCAGAGAUCCCUCAGUUUAAAUGAGAAACUGAUGGCAGGGCAUUCUCCAAGAAGAGACCUUACUUGUACUGCUUGGUCCACCAGUGUGUAUUGUUAACCCUUUGUGUUCAUUACAAAGCCCAUCUUUUCUCUUGGGUAUCUAGGAGGUAGUCAGUUGAUGGAACAAGAAAUAUUGCUUUGAUGGUAAGCUUAUUAUG
This is a long non-coding RNA of Dermochelys coriacea (leatherback sea turtle), 1815 nucleotides long. RefSeq lists it as uncharacterized. The transcript has 3 exons. Lineage: Eukaryota; Metazoa; Chordata; Testudines; Dermochelyidae. The record is from RefSeq and is a predicted model, not a curated record.